GGUACUCAGAAGGUUGCUGGUUUGAUCCCCACAGUCACCACCAUUGUGUCCUUGAGUAAGACACUUAACUCCAGGUUGCUCCGGGGGGAUUGUCCCUGUAAUAAGUGCACUGUAUAAUACAUUGGUACUCAGAAGGUUGCUGGUUUGAUCCCCACAGUCACCACCAUUGUGUCCUUGAGUAAGACACUUAACUCCAGGUUGCUCCGGGGGGAUUGUCCCUGUAAUAAGUGCUCUGUAUAAUACAUUGGUACUCAGAAGGUUGCUGGUUUGAUCCCCACAGUCACCACCAUUGUGUCCUUGAGUAAGACACUUAACUCCAGGUUGCUCCGGGGGGAUUGUCCCUGUAAUAAGUGCACUGUAUAAUACAUUGGUACUCAGAAGGUUGCUGGUUUGAUCCCCACAGUCACCACCAUUGUGUCCUUGAGUAAGACACUUAACUCCAGGUUGCUCCGGGGGGAUUGUCCCUGUAAUAAGUGCUCUGUAUAAUACAUUGGUACUCAGGAGGUUGCUGGUUUGAUCCCCACAGUCACCACCAUUGUGUCCUUGAGUAAGACACUUAACUCCAGGU
This is a long non-coding RNA of Xyrauchen texanus (razorback sucker), 568 nucleotides long. RefSeq lists it as uncharacterized. The record is from RefSeq and is a predicted model, not a curated record. Lineage: Eukaryota; Metazoa; Chordata; Actinopteri; Cypriniformes; Catostomidae. The transcript is spliced from 4 exons.